CGUCCGUCUCAUAUAUUUUUUGCCACGCUGCCACUGGAGCCCGAGACUGCUCCACCGAAAAAGCUCCCUCCUGACUGCUCCACCGAAGAAGCGUGGAAGCGAAGCCAAGGCAGCUGAGAUGGCACAAGCCAUGGCGUCCAUGACCGGCCUCUCGCAGGGCGUGCUGCCCAGCAGGCGCGCCGCCAGCAGGGCUAGGACGGCCGUCGUCAGGGCGUCCGCCGACGGCGAGGCCGGCCGCCGCGCCGUGCUCGGGCUGGUGGCCACCGGCAUCGUCGGCAGCGUCUUCUCCCAGGCGGCGCACGCCGAGGCCGUCAAGACCAUCAAGAUCGGCCCCCCGCCGCCGCCCUCCGGUGGACUUC
RNAcentral lists this long non-coding RNA (359 nucleotides) under Setaria viridis. Its description in RNAcentral is "long non-coding RNA (SVIR_LNC002408)". Lineage: Eukaryota; Viridiplantae; Streptophyta; Magnoliopsida; Poales; Poaceae. The record is from RNAcentral.